GCAGACACAUUCCAGCCAAUCAGCAGCAGUCCCUCCCUCCCAGACCCUCCCACCUCCUGGACAGCAUCCAUUUUGAAGCUGCAUUCUUAGUGAGCUGUCCAGGAGGUGGGAGGGUCUGGGAGGGAGGGUCUGCUGCUGAUUGGCUGGAAUGUGUCUG
This 157-nucleotide microRNA precursor is filed under the name Pelobates cultripes (western spadefoot toad). Lineage: Eukaryota; Metazoa; Chordata; Amphibia; Anura; Pelobatidae. The record is from RNAcentral.